Misgurnus anguillicaudatus (oriental weatherfish) is the source of this 1186-nucleotide non-coding RNA. Lineage: Eukaryota; Metazoa; Chordata; Actinopteri; Cypriniformes; Cobitidae. The record is from RefSeq and is a predicted model, not a curated record.
GCUUAAUUUUCUCUGGCGGUUGCCUCCGUCUAAUAGACCGCGGCAGGCUGGCGGCAAGCCGCUUUGAAAUCUUCUCAAAAUCAACAUUGGCCAUUGGAGUUAAAGUACUGACAGCAUUUUAACUUUCACAUUUGAGCGGUUAUAAAAUCAUAAUAGCCUAUAUAUGUGAAUUAUAUCAAAUAGGAUAGUUGUUUUGCUCCAAAGCAAAGAUAUGUAAGUUAUGUUUAUACGAAUGUGUUUUCAGUUAGUUUCCUUUUUUUACACCCUGAGUUCAAGCAUGUUUCACAUGCAUCUAAAGCCAGUAGGGUUUAUAACAGAUUCUUGAAGUUUUAGGAAAUUACAUUUAAAUUACUUUUAAACUCUGAAGCGAUUAUACAGUAAUAUAUGUGAAAUAUAUCGAAUUAUUUUAUCACUUAGGUGAACAUUUGUACAUGUCUUUGAUUUAUGCACUUGACUGGAAAUUUCCUUUAUGUCUUUCAUUAUUUUCCAACAUCGAUUUAAUUUUUUUUACCUUUUACAUGUACAAGGAUUAUUUUGCGAUUGCGACCUGUACAAAUUAAUUGAGACAAAAAAAGAAAGUGUUAAAGCACAAACAGUGAAGUACCGCCACCGGUCGACAGGGGCAGCACUUAAAAAAGACGGAAGAAUUGUAAACCGGAAGAUAACGUGUCCUCCCAGAGAGCACUCGGCGUCACACAUUUCAGUGUUUGAAGAGAGGAUCAAGAUACAGAUUUAAGACAAAAGUCAUCAAUUACGAUCGUUUAAAUAGCUUGCCCAGAGCACAGCAUCUCGUGCACAGCAUGAAGUUUUCAGCUAUCAAGAUUUCUAGAGGCUCCAGAAUGAAAACCAAGCCCUGCACUGCAAAAAAUGAAAGUCUUGCUUGGUUUUCUUUUGUCUUGUUUUCUAAUAUUAUUAUCUGAAAAUUCUUAAAUUGAGACACUGACUUUGUAAGCAAGUGGCUUAAGAUAUUAAGUUUUGUUUAUUGAAAUAAAUGAUGAAAAUCGGGAGUUUUUUGUUACUUAAAACAAGUAAAAAAAUUGCCUGUGCAGUAAGAAAAAUAAACUAAAUUCCAGUUUUUAACUUAAUCAACUUAAAUUAAGUUUAUUUUUCUUACUGCAUUGGCAGAUAUUUUGACUUGUUUUAAGUAAAAAGAAAAACUCUUGAUUUUUAUCAUUUAUUUCAAUAA